GGAUGCAGCCGGCGCUUGGCUUUUCCCUCCCGCGUCGCUCGGGAAGAACGGCUGCUCGAGUGUCUCCGCUUCCCCGGGUGAGCCAUUGAGGAGCUCUCGCCGCUGCUCCAGGGUGAGGGCGAUCCGAGCCGCCUCUGCUUUUCGCUCUAGUGGCUAAGUUGAAGACCUUCCAUGACGAUGAAGAAAGAGACCGCGUUUGCUGUUUCCACCUAAAAAAAAUGACCAAUAAGAACCAAAGUUUUGGUGUGGGACAGGACUCCAUGCCCUCCAUGACUUGUCUAAUCCACAUCCUUGAAGCGUGGUUUGGUGUGGAGCACUUGGAGGACUACUGGAAUUUUGCAAACUACCUCUUGUGGGUUUUCACACCACUCCUCCUUUUAAUACUCCCUUACUUCACCAUCUUUCUGCUCUACCUUACAAUAAUUUUCUUACACAUUUAUAAGAGGAAGAAUGUGCUAAAAGAAGCCUACUCCCAUAAUCUGUGGGAUGGCGCGAGGAAGACGGUGGCGACCCUGUGGGACGGACAUGCAGCUGUCUGGCAUGGUUAUGAAGUUCAUGGGAUGGAAAAAAUACCAGAAGAAGGACCAGCACUGAUCAUUUUUUAUCACGGAGCUAUUCCCAUAGAUUUUUACUACUUCAUGGCUAAAAUUUUUAUCCAUAAAGGCAGAACUUGCCGAGUAGUAGCGGAUCACUUUGUCUUUAAAAUUCCAGGGUUUAGCUUAUUACUUGAUGUAUUUUGUGCUAUUCAUGGACCAAGAGAAAAAUGUGUUGAAAUCCUGCAGAGUGGUCACUUGCUGGCUAUCUCACCAGGUGGCGUUCGGGAAGCACUGAUGAGUGACGAGACCUACAACAUUGUGUGGGGUAAUCGGAAAGGCUUCGCUCAGGUUGCAAUCGAUGCAAAAGUGAUGAGGAAACUCAGGCAGAGAGAGAUGGAGGGACCGAAGCAGAGCUUGCAGUUCAGGACGGCAGGCAGCCAGUGCGCUUCACACCCAUUAUUCCUAUGUUUACACAAAAUAUUCGAGAAGGAUUUAGAUCACUUGGAGGAACAAGGCUGUUUAGGUGGCUUUAUGAAAAGUUCCGCUAUCCAUUUGCCCCCAUGUACGGAGGUUUUCCUGUGAAGUUGCGCACGUACUUAGGUGAUCCCAUUCCAUACGACCCAAAGAUCACAGCAGAAGAACUAGCCGAAAAGACGAAGGAUGCUGUUCAAGCUCUGAUUGACAAGCACCAAAGAAUACCCGGAAACAUAAUGAGUGCUUUGCUAGAACGUUUUCGUAACAAACAAAAGAUCAACCAGAAGACUCUUUAAUACAUUUAUAUUAAUAUGUUUGUAUCUAUAGGACUGUAUUCUGAAUUUUGUAGGUUCUAUAAUUAGUAUUUUUUUUUAAAAAAUCAUGUCAAGAAGCAUCUUUCAUUGAACUUGUUUGCUUAAAAUUAUGUUGUCAAUUAUGUUUCUGCAAUCAGUUGUGUCAAAUUUAAACAGUAACUCACUACAUGCAUCAUAAUUCAGAAAAUGAUCAUGAUUCUUUUUAUAAUUUUCUAAUCAUGUAUCAUAAACAUAGAUCCUUAAAUCUAUGAUCUUCCCUAGUAGCUCAUCUGGUAAAGAAUCUGCCUGUAAUGCAGGAGACCCAGGUUUGAUCCCUGGGUCGGGAAGAUCCCCUGGAGAGGGGAAUGGCUACCCACUCCAUGCCUCAUAAUUUGGAAAAUGAUCAUGGUUCUUUUUAUAGUUGCCUAAUCAUGUAUCCUACACAUAGAUCCUUAAAGUUUAGUUUAUCAAUAAUAGCAGUGGAGGUAAACAAACAUUCCUAAAUAAUGCAUCUAGUUUCUGCAUCUCUUGCACUGAGCCAGUUUUGCAAGAUGGCUUAACCUAGGGUUUUAGUACAGAUGCUUAAGUUAGAGAAAAACAAGCUCUUUCCUCUGCUUCUCAUUCCUUUCAUGACCUUCAGCAAAUCACAUAUUUUUGUGCCUCAACAAUUCACUUUUUAAAAACAUGUUAAUCCUUUGGUGAGGAAUAUUGUUUUAACUCUUUAUAUUUGGUGUGAUUGAUAUCCAUAGUAUGGAAAUUAUGACUGUAUAAACUAAACAAUACCAAGAUCUUUUAGAAGUUUGUGUAUUUAUUUUGUCCAUAGGAUGUUUAAAUUAUUCCUUCAGGUAUGAUGUCAAGUUGCCAAGCAACAAUGAAAAAGAUGUACUGUUUUUCAAACUAAGUAAAACAGAAAUUAGGGAAAGUAAAAUUCCUAAUUAUUGUGGUUAUUCUUUUUAGUAUUAUAUUUUUAAUGAGAAUCUGUAGACAAACCAUAGAAGGUAUGCUCUGCGUCGUCUGCCCUGUAAUGUGGCAUUUAAUAGUGUCAGGUUAGAAAUCACAGUCAUGCCCUGCAUCUCGUACUUUAGAAGCUGACUCUAGGCUGAUGACAGCCCCGGGAGAAAGCUCUGCUUUUCUCAGCAUCCUGGUUCAUUCAGCUUGACUCUGCAUCCAGACGGAUGGUUUAUUGUUUCAAUAAAAAUAUACUUGAAUGAUGAAUUUAUGUGAACAUAGGGCUCUCUGAAAAAUUAAUGGGUUUCGAUUUGUUGUCUCUUUGAAAUCUGAAUUUAAAAGUAUUUAAACAGAAUACUGCCGGGAAUCAAAUGCAGUAUGUCCCUCUCCCUUUUUAAGAUAUUAAAUUACUUGGAUUUUUGUAUACACUUUUGUAUAACAAGUAUGUAUGUAUGAUAUGUGUAAUGUAUGUACAAUUAAGAAAAAUAAAAAAAGUAAAGCUGAA
Bubalus bubalis (water buffalo) is the source of this 2756-nucleotide RNA transcript. It is a transcript of the gene named transmembrane protein 68, with no coding region annotated. The transcript is spliced from 8 exons. NCBI's taxonomy places the organism in Eukaryota, Metazoa, Chordata, Mammalia, Artiodactyla, Bovidae. The record is from RefSeq and is a predicted model, not a curated record.